Molecule: ribosomal RNA, 509 nt
Filed under: uncultured bacterium
Lineage: Bacteria
Description: bacterial SSU rRNA
Rfam family: Bacterial small subunit ribosomal RNA
Source: RNAcentral
CUGGCGGCAUGCCUAAUACAUGCAAGUCGAACGGUCUUUCUAUGGAAGCUUGCUUCCACUGAGAAGAUAGUGGCGAACGGGUGAGUAACACGUGGGUAACCUGCCCAUAAGAGGGGGAUAACAUCCGGAAACGGGUGCUAAUACCGCAUAGUUUUCUUGAUCGCAUGAUCGGGAAAGGAAAGACGGCCUUUGUGCUGUCGCUUAUGGAUGGACCCGCGGCGUAUUAGUUAGUUGGUGAGGUAACGGCUCACCAAGACGAUGAUACGUAGCCGACCUGAGAGGGUGAUCGGCCACAUUGGGACUGAGACACGGCCCAAACUCCUACGGGAGGCAGCAGUAGGGAAUCUUCCGCAAUGGACGAAAGUCUGACGGAGCAACGCCGCGUGAGUGAAGAAGGUUUUCGGAAUCGUAAAACUCUGUUGUCAGAGAAGAACAAGUUGGAGAGUAACUGCUCCAGCCUUGACGGUAUCUGACCAGAAAGCCACGGCUAACUACGUGCCAGCAGCAGC